GUGAUUAUUGCGGUGGUGAACACCUCUUACCAUUUCGAACAGAGAAGUUAAGACCACUUGCGCAGAUGGUACUACAUUGUGGGAG
Molecule: ribosomal RNA, 85 nt
Filed under: Crocinitomicaceae bacterium
Lineage: Bacteria; Pseudomonadati; Bacteroidota; Flavobacteriia; Flavobacteriales; Crocinitomicaceae
Source: RNAcentral